Molecule: ribosomal RNA, 160 nt
Filed under: Glycera tridactyla
Lineage: Eukaryota; Metazoa; Annelida; Polychaeta; Phyllodocida; Glyceridae
Also listed under: 2 other names
Description: 5.8S ribosomal RNA
Rfam family: 5.8S ribosomal RNA
About the family: 5.8S ribosomal RNA (5.8S rRNA) is a component of the large subunit of the eukaryotic ribosome. It is transcribed by RNA polymerase I as part of the 45S precursor that also contains 18S and 28S rRNA.
Source: RNAcentral
ACAACUCUAAGCGGUGGAUCACUCGGCUCGUGUGUCGAUGAAGAGCGCAGCCAACUGUGUGAAUUAAUGUGAAUUGCAGGACACAUUGAACAUUGACAUCUUGAACGCAUAUUGCGGCAUCGGUUCUCUCCCGGUGCCACGCCUGUCUCAGGGUCGGUUG